AAAAAAAUAAGCUAAUUUAAGCUAUUGGGUUCAUACCCCAAUUAUAAAGGUUUUAAUCCUUUUUUUUUUA
This 70-nucleotide transfer RNA is filed under the name Platycheirus granditarsus. Its description in RNAcentral is "tRNA-Met". It matches the Rfam family "tRNA". Rfam says of the family: Transfer RNA (tRNA) molecules are approximately 80 nucleotides in length. Their secondary structure includes four short double-helical elements and three loops (D, anti-codon, and T loops). Lineage: Eukaryota; Metazoa; Arthropoda; Insecta; Diptera; Syrphidae. The record is from RNAcentral.